This 161-nucleotide small nuclear RNA is filed under the name Microtus ochrogaster (prairie vole). RNAcentral's name for it is "U1 spliceosomal RNA (ENSMOCG00000005829.1)". It matches the Rfam family "U1 spliceosomal RNA", at positions 32 to 166 of the family's 166-position model. From Rfam's summary of the family: U1 is a small nuclear RNA (snRNA) component of the spliceosome (involved in pre-mRNA splicing). Its 5' end forms complementary base pairs with the 5' splice junction, thus defining the 5' donor site of an intron. Lineage: Eukaryota; Metazoa; Chordata; Mammalia; Rodentia; Cricetidae. The record is from RNAcentral.
AAAAGUAAGCAACAUAAAAGAAAAAGUCUGAAAGAAAAGGCUUCCUGGGUGAUUUAUCCAUUGCACUUGGGAUGUGCUGACCCUUGUGAUUUUCCCAAGUUCAGGAAACUUGACUGCAUAAUUUGUGGUAGUUGGGGACUGUGUUCCUGCUCCACCCCUCC